GAUGAAGAACGCAGCGAAAUGCGAUAAGUAAUGUGAAUUGCAGAAUCCAGUGAAUCAUCGAAUCUUUGAACGCACAUUGCGCCCGCCAGCAUUCUGGCGGGCAUGCCUGUUCGAGCGUCAUUUCAACCCUCGACCUCCCCUUGGGGAGGUCGGCGCUGGGGACCGGCAGCACACCGCCGGCCCUGAAAUGGAGUGGCGGCCCGUCCGCGGCGACCUCUGCGUAGUAAUACAGCUCGCACCGGAACCCCGACGCGGCCACGCCGUAAAACACCCAACUUCUGAACGUUGACCUCGAAUCAGGUAGGACUACCCGCUGAACUUAAGCAUAUCAAUAAGCGGAGGA
RNAcentral lists this unclassified non-coding RNA (343 nucleotides) under soil metagenome. RNAcentral's name for it is "partial contains 5.8S ribosomal RNA, internal transcribed spacer 2, and large subunit ribosomal RNA". The stretch from base 1 to 120 matches the Rfam family "5.8S ribosomal RNA", at positions 35 to 154 of the family's 154-position model. The record is from RNAcentral.